Molecule: non-coding RNA, 95 nt
Organism: Malassezia furfur
Lineage: Eukaryota; Fungi; Basidiomycota; Malasseziomycetes; Malasseziales; Malasseziaceae
Source: the annotation of a GenBank genome assembly
GUGGCUAUAGUAUAGUGGUCAGUACGUAUCGUUGUGGCUUGCUUGUCAAUCACAACAAUUCCGAUGAGACGCCGGUUCGAUUCCGGCUAGCCACA